RNAcentral lists this non-coding RNA (24 nucleotides) under Arabidopsis thaliana (thale cress). Lineage: Eukaryota; Viridiplantae; Streptophyta; Magnoliopsida; Brassicales; Brassicaceae. The record is from RNAcentral.
CUAAACACUACGACUUCUAAUGGG